AAAGAGUCAGACACGACUGAGCGACUGAACUGGACUGAACUGAACUGAACAGUGCCCUGAGUUCACUUUGAUAAACAAAUUGCUCCCAGCCAUGAGUCAGUCCAUUCCAUCCCCCACUCCAGGGUAAUCCCAAGACCCAGACUUAGCCAAUCAGUGCAUUUGAAAACCAUGAAGGGGUUUAGGGUGGAUAUUUGACCCACUUUGGACAAAUUAGAAUCAGAUUCAAGAUGUUUUUCUCACAAUUGUUUAGAAGAAAGAAUCUUUUUUUAUUUCCUGAACAUGAAUUUGGAGGACAUAAACUUGGAGCUACCUGGAGCCCACAUCAGGGGAAAGUUUGGGGCCACUUUCCAAUAGGAGAGAGAGCCUACCCAAGAGGCAAGCCAAGACUGAGGAAAGUACUGCUGAGAAGCCAAGCCCUGAAGGCGAUCUGAGCAGGAUCCGUGUGCGCGAGCUAAGUCGCUUCAGUUGUGUCUGACCCUUUGCGAUCCUGUCAGCUGUAGCCCACCAGGGUCCUCUGUCCAUGGGAUUCUGCAGGCAAGAAUAUUAGAGUGGACUGCAAUUUUCAGCUAGAUCCAGUGAUGGCUAAAUCUACUGCCUGAAAAUUUUCAGAUCCAUAAGUCGAUUCAUUUUUCAUUGUAUUCCCUGUAAGUCUGAGUUGGGAUUCCUUUGCUUGAGGAUAGGAACUGGAUUUUAUCUCUUUGAACCUGAAGCAUCUAAAACAAUACCUGCUGGCACCCUCAUGAAGAAUCUUGUGUUUCAAGGUAAAAGGGUUUAGACCUUAUCUUGGACAGGUUGAGGAAUCACUGAAGGACCUUCAGCAGCAGAGACAUGCGGUAUUUUGUGUAUUGGAGCUACAGGUGGAAAGAGUCUGGCGUUUUGGCUGCUUGCAAAAGCAAGCAGUGGUGAACAUGAUACUCUUACCUCCUAGCCCACCUAGCUGAAAUUACACGCCUGCUGAUGAUGGGAGGCUGGAGCCGUACCUGAGUUAUAAGCCCCUUCUAGCGCUAUGUGAGCAACAGGGGUUCUGUUUGGUAAUUCCCCCAAAUGCAUCCCCUUUUACAGACUCUGGUUACUCCUACAAGGAGACUUUGAGGUGUCCACAAGGCAGGACUGCACACAUCGAGAGCCAGCAGUAAAGCACGCUUCACUCUGCAGGGUAACAUCAGGCACUCAUUAAAGGAAUGCGCUAGCUGUGGGUGAUUAAAAUCUAAUUGAAACAAGCAUCCUGUGAAUGGCUUCCAGAAUCCAGGCAAGAGAAGACUGUUAAAUGUUUGAAAACUAUUUUAUGAUCAAGCAUCCCCACUUCCUUUUCUCCCAGACAGUCCUGUGGCAGAUUGACGUUUAUCUCCUAUUCUUCUGUUACUCUCACCGUCUCUCAGUCACCAGUUGUAUUAUGGUAUUACGGUACGACUGUAAAGGACCAGGUUAUAUUCCUCUCUAGAUAUGAUCCUUGAGGGCAGACAGUCUUAUUUAUGUUUCUUUUUCCAGCUCUUCCCACAUUCUCCACAGUGUCCUUAAUGCCAGUUUGCUGAACUGAAUUGGUGAAACUCGAUCUCUAAAUAAAUCUGAUCCCCCCCAAAAAUGAUCAAAAAUAUGCAUGUUCUCUGACUCCCUAUGACCACUGCCAGAAGCUCAAACUGAACGAAGCAAAAUUCAAAAGCCAGUCAUCAGUCGCCAUUAGGAACAGCUGGAUCCAGAUUUCCGGCGUCACCCACACUCUCUUUCUCUGUCUUUUGCCUCUGCUCUCCUUUGCUUUAAGCUUCAUUCUUAGGCAAGUCUGUGCAGGAGAUGACAAGCAUGGCCACCAGCAUCUACGGGCUAAAUUCUGCCAGCUUAGCAAGACCAGUAGGAAAAAGUUUCUCUUGCUCAAUAUCUCUGGCAAAGGUCCUGAGAUCCAGUCUCAUUGGCUUGGCUUGUGACCAUUGGCUUAGUCAUGUGACCAUUACUAAGCCACUUGUAGCCUGGAGACUGGAUUACACUGAUUAGCCUGGUCUGAGUAAUACGGCCAUUCUUGGCACCAAAAAGUGAGGCUUCAUCCAGAUCAUAUGGAUUGAGAGUAGAGGAAAGUGUUCUCCAGAGAAAAAUGAGGGUCAUAUUAACUGAAGAAAGGAAAAUAGCUAAACCUCACAAUGUGCAUUAUAUACAAACAUUUGAUAAUUCCUGUGGGCGGUUAUAACAAAAACAAUAAUAAUGAUAGCUACCAUCAACUAAGUAUUUACUAUAUCAUAGCACUGUUCUGUGGAGAAGGCAAUGGCACCCCACUCCAGUACUCUUGCCUGGAAA
RNAcentral lists this long non-coding RNA (2283 nucleotides) under Capra hircus (goat). RNAcentral describes it as "lncRNA (ENSCHIG00010025374.1)". The record is from RNAcentral. Lineage: Eukaryota; Metazoa; Chordata; Mammalia; Artiodactyla; Bovidae.